RNAcentral lists this ribosomal RNA (1439 nucleotides) under uncultured prokaryote. Its description in RNAcentral is "partial 16S ribosomal RNA". It matches the Rfam family "Archaeal small subunit ribosomal RNA". The record is from RNAcentral.
UUCCGGUUGAUCCUGCCGGAGGCCACCGCUAUUGGAUUGCGCUUAAGCCAUGCGAGUCGAGAGACUUCGGGUCUCGGCGAACUGCUCAGUAACACGUGGAUAAUCUGCCCUGUGGUGGGGGAUAACCUCGGGAAACUGAGAAUAAUACCCCAUAGACUGGAGAUGCUGGAACGCACCCCAGUUGAAACGGGCUUUACCGCCUUAGGAUGAGUCUGCGGCCUAUCAGGUUGUAGUGGGUGUAAAGUACCUACUAGCCUUCGACGGGUACGGGCGUUGGGAGACGUAGCCCGGAGAUGGAUUCUGAGACAUGAAUCCAGGCCCUACGGGGCGCAGCAGGCGCGAAAACUUCACAAUGCGGGAAACCGCGAUGAGGGGACUCCAAGUGCGUGCGCAAAGCGUACGCUUUUCUUAUGUCUAGAUAGCAUGGGGAAUAAGGGCUGGGUAAGACCGGUGCCAGCCGCCGCGGUAACACCGGCAGCCCGAGUGGUGGUCGAUUUUAUUGGGCCUAAAGCGUCCGUAGCCUGCUCGGUAAGUCCUUGGGUAAAUCAUCCAGCUUAACUGUAUGAAUUCCAGGGGUACUGCCGGGCUUGGGACUGGGAGAGGCUAGAGGUACUCAUGGGGUAGGGGUAAAAUCCAGUAAUCCUGUGGGGACCACCAGUGGCGAAGGCGUCUAGCUAGAACGGCUCCGACGGUCAGGGACGAAGCCCAGGGGCACAAACCGGAUUAGAUACCCGGGUAGUCCUGGGUGUAAACGCUGCGGGCUUGGUGUUGGGGGUCCUGCUAGGGCGUCCAGUGCCGUAGAGAAGUUGUUAAGCCCGCCGCCUGGGGAGUACGGUCGCAAGGCUGAAACUUAAAGGAAUUGGCGGGGGAGCACUGCAACGGGUGGAGCGUGCGGUUUAAUUGGAUUCAACGCCGUAAAACUCACCGGGGGCGACGGUUACAUGAAGGCCAGAUUGAUGAUCUUGCCAGAUUUUCCGAGAGGUGGUGCAUGGCCGUCGUCAGUUCGUACCGUAGGGCGUUCUGUUAAGUCAGAUAACGAACGAGACCCCUGUCCUUAUUUGCUAAUACCUUCUCAGGAAGGGGCGCACUAUAGGGAGACCGCUGGUGCUAAACCAGAGGAAGGAGGGGGCAACGGUAGGUCAGUAUGCCCCGAAUCCCCCGGGCUACACGCGCGCUACAAAGGACAGGACAAUGGGCAUCGACACCGAGAGGUGGAGCAAUCCCGAAACCUGUUCGUAGUUCGGAUUGAGGGCUGUAACUCGCCCUCAUGAAGCUGGAAUCCGUAGUAAUCGCGGGUCAACAUCCCGCGGUGAAUAUGCCCCUGCUCCUUGCACACACCGCCCGUCAAACCAUCUGAGUGGGGUCUCGAUGAGGCUGCGCCAUUUUGGCGUAUUCGAGUCGGGGCUUCGCAAGGAGGGUUAAGUCGUAACAAGGUAACC